CUACGGGGUGCAGCAGUGGGGAAUAUUGCACAAUGGGCGAAAGCCUGAUGCAGCAACGCCGCGUGAACGAUGAAGGCCUUCGGGUUGUAAAGUUCUUUUCUUGGAGAAGAAUCCAUGACGGUAUCCAAGGAAUAAGCCCCGGCUAACUACGUGCCAGCAGCCGCGGUAAUACGUAGGGGGCAAGCGUUAUCCGGAAUCACUGGGCGUAAAGGGAGUGUAGGCGGUCAAGCAAGUCAGGGGUGAAAGGCAUCGGCUCAACCGAUGUAAGCCUUUGAAACUGUUUGACUUGAGUGCAGGAGAGGUAAGUGGAAUUCCUAGUGUAGCGGUGAAAUGCGUAGAUAUUAGGAGGAACACCAGUGGCGAAGGCGACUUACUGGACUGUAACUGACGCUGAGGCUCGAAAGCGUGGGGAGCGAACAGGAUUAGAUACCCCAGUAGUC
Molecule: ribosomal RNA, 440 nt
Filed under: uncultured bacterium
Lineage: Bacteria
Description: partial 16S ribosomal RNA
Rfam family: Bacterial small subunit ribosomal RNA
Source: RNAcentral